UGCAGGGGGUGUGCGUUCAAUCCCUUAACAUCCCACAUGUCUGGGGGCCAAAAAACCAAAACAUAAAACAGAAGUAGUAUUAUAACAAAUUCAAUAAAGACUUUUAAAAAAGAGACAGAGUUAGGAGUUUUAACCUAAUGAAGACAUAAGGUAAAGCCUAUGUCUUCUGUGAAAUUGCCCCAUAAGGCCCAUCAGAAUAGCCACUAAUUUCCAGCACCUGUUCAUCUGCCUUUAAUUAAACCUGCUCUCCCUUAAACACCAGCACCAAGAUAAAUGAGAGAAAGCUAAUUCAAUCUUAUUGAUUCCCUGUUUUGUUUAAUCACUAGAGUUACUGUUUUGCUUAAUUACUAAAGAUUGCAUUCUACUAUUUCUAUUUCAAAUACACCUUGACUCAGUUACAAUAUUUCUGCAGAGAAAUGUGCUCUACCUUCCAGUCCUUUUAUAAACAUUUUAAACUCAACAGUUUCAUCAACAAAAAAAUUAGCUGUCUGCAGUUAAAAGCUGAAACCAAUAUUGUAAAAAAUAAGUGGUGUAGGCUGGGGGAUAACUGGAGACCUCUGAAGGAAGUAACAUCUAAGUGGAAUUCUGCAGGAUAGAAGAGGAUUUAGGAGAAAGAUUUUAUGUCCAAGAGCUUCCAGCCCAGAAUCAGCAUAAUAUGCUCUGAGCAUGCUUGAGGGAUACAGUUAUUCCCAGGGCCAGCAAUGGCCCACAGGUCAACAGAUCCUCAACUAUAGGGAUGUGGAAGUGAGAAUAUCAGGCUAAGAAGGAAGGAGGAGUGGUGACGGACAUGAGAGAUUUCAAAAACUCCACUUAAGGAAGGGGCUUCUCUGGUGGCUCAGUGGUGAAGAAUCCGCCUGCCAAUGCUAGAGACAUGGGUUCAAUCCCUGACUGGGGGUCUGGGGAGGGAAUCCUGCGUGCCAUGGAGCAACUAAGCCUGUGCACCGCAACUCUUGAGCCUGUGCUGCCCAGCCUGGGAGCCACAACUAGCCAGCCCACAUGCCGCAACUGCUGAAGCCCAAGUACCCUACAGCCCAUGCUCCACAUCAAGAGAAGCCCCUGCAAUGAGAAGCCCACGGACUGCAACUAGAGAGAAGCCCCCACCAUCCUCAACUAGAGAAAAGCCCAUGCAGCAACAAAGCCUAACACAGCAAAAAUAUAAAUAAAUAAAUGUUUUUAAAAAACCCACUUAACAUUUUGAUAUUGCUUCCUUCAGCACUCCACUCAUCCCUGCCUGCACACUCAGUGGCUCAGCCGUGUUCAACUUUUUGUGACCCCACCCCUGGACUGCAGCCCACCAGGCUCCUCUGUCCAUGGGAUCCUCCAGGCAAGAAUACUGGAGUGGGUAGCCGUGGGAAGCCACAGGAGACUUUUGAAGAAAAUGCUGUCCUUUUUAACGUGCUUCACAGCUACUUUUUAAAGUAUUUCAUGGAGUAAUAACCUAAUUUCCUAAACAUUAGACAAGACUAUAUCUGCACUUUUCAAGAGUAAUUCACACAAUACUCAACCCAUAGAUUUUCGUUAAAAAGGUUCAGUCCACAUAAGUUUGGGAAAUCUCGUAUCACAUCCCUUUCUGUCGGAGUUCACAAACCAUAUUAAUUAGCCUACUAAAGGAUCUAAGAACUCUCACUGUAGAACUC
Molecule: long non-coding RNA, 1637 nt
Organism: Bos taurus (domestic cattle)
Lineage: Eukaryota; Metazoa; Chordata; Mammalia; Artiodactyla; Bovidae
Source: Ensembl